Molecule: ribosomal RNA, 573 nt
Filed under: uncultured bacterium
Lineage: Bacteria
Description: bacterial SSU rRNA
Rfam family: Bacterial small subunit ribosomal RNA
Source: RNAcentral
ACGGGAGGGGAUGGCUCCGCGGCCCAUCAGGUAGACGGCGGGGUGACGGCCCACCGUGCCGACAACGGGUAGCCGGGUUGAGAGACCGACCGGCCAGAUUGGGACUGAGACACGGCCCAGACUCCUACGGGAGGCAGCAGUGGGGAAUCUUGCGCAAUGGGGGGAACCCUGACGCAGCGACGCCGCGUGCGGGACGGAGGCCUUCGGGUCGUAAACCGCUUUCAGCAGGGAAGAGUCAAGACUGUACCUGCAGAAGAAGCCCCGGCUAACUACGUGCCAGCAGCCGCGGUAAUACGUAGGGGGCGAGCGUUAUCCGGAUUCAUUGGGCGUAAAGCGCGCGUAGGCGGCCCGGCAGGCCGGGGGUCGAAGCGGGGGGCUCAACCCCCCGAAGCCCCCGGAACCUCCGCGGCUUGGGUCCGGUAGGGGAGGGUGGAACACCCGGUGUAGCGGUGGAAUGCGCAGAUAUCGGGUGGAACACCGGUGGCGAAGGCGGCCCUCUGGGCCGAGACCGACGCUGAGGCGCGAAAGCUGGGGGAGCGAACAGGAUUAGAUACCCUGGUAGUCCCAGCCGUA